AAUAGAUACCCGGGUAGUCCACGCCGUAAACGAUGAGUACUAGGUGUAGGGGGUAUCGACCCCCUCUGUGCCGAAGCUAACGCAAUAAGUACUCCGCCUGGGGACUACGGCCGCAAGGCUAAAACUCAAAGGAAUUGACGGGGGCCCGCACAAGCAGCGGAGCGUGUGGUUUAAUUCGAUGAUACGCGAAGAACCUCACCCAGGUUUGACAUGCAUGUGGUACCGAUCCGAAAGGUGACGGACCCCUCGGGGAGCAUGCACAGGUGUUGCAUGGCCGUCGUCAGCUCGUGCCGUGAGGUGUUGGGUUAAGUCCCGCAACGAGCGCAACCCUUGUUGCCAGUUGUAUUUUUCUGGCGAGACUGCCGAGAAAACCUCGGAGGAAGGAGGGGAUGAUGUCAGGUCAGCAUGGCCCUUACGCCUGGGGCUACACACACGCUACAAUGGGUGGUACAGAGGGCAGCCAAGCCGCGAGGCGGAGCUAAUCCCAUCAAAGCCAUCCUCAGUUCGGAUUGCAGGCUGCAACUCGCCUGC
Molecule: ribosomal RNA, 531 nt
Filed under: uncultured bacterium
Lineage: Bacteria
Description: bacterial SSU rRNA
Rfam family: Bacterial small subunit ribosomal RNA
Source: RNAcentral